AAAGCUUGACUUAGUUAAAGCUAAGAGGGCCGGUAAAACUCGUGCCAGCAACCGCGGUUAUACGAGAGGCCCAAGUUGAUAGGAAUCGGCGUAAAGGGUGGUUAAGGGUUAUUUCAAAAUAAAGCCGAAGAUUCUCAAUGCUGUUAUACGCUCUCGAGGACUCGAAGCCCCACCACGAAAGUGGCUUUACCCCGCCCCGAACCCACGAAAGCCAGGGUACAAACUGGGAUUAGAUACCCCACUAUGCCUGGCUGUAAACAUUGAUAAGAUAUUACACGCAUUAUCCGCCUGGGAACUACGAGCGCUAGCUUAAAACCCCAAGGACUUGGCGGUGCUUUAGACCCCCCUAGAGGAGCCUGUUUCUAGAACCGAUAAUCCCCGUUCAACCUCACCCUUCCCUGUAAAUUCU
RNAcentral lists this ribosomal RNA (409 nucleotides) under Parupeneus ciliatus (whitesaddle goatfish). Its description in RNAcentral is "partial 12S ribosomal RNA". It matches the Rfam family "Bacterial small subunit ribosomal RNA", at positions 464 to 991 of the family's 1533-position model. The record is from RNAcentral. Lineage: Eukaryota; Metazoa; Chordata; Actinopteri; Syngnathiformes; Mullidae.